This 1002-nucleotide long non-coding RNA is filed under the name Pan troglodytes (chimpanzee). RNAcentral describes it as "lincRNA". Lineage: Eukaryota; Metazoa; Chordata; Mammalia; Primates; Hominidae. The record is from RNAcentral.
UAGACUCCCAGCUUUGCUAGCAUGCAUGUUAGCAUGACCUGGGGAAUGAAAAGGAAUCAAUGCCCUGCUGCCCCACCACCAGCCAAUUGAACCAGGGUCUCUGGUGGUGGAGCCUGGGCAUUCCUGAAUGAGUGACAAGGUUGAGGGCUUGAGUGGAGGCCGGGCUUGAAUGCAAUGAGGGGACAGAGAGGUUGACACAAUGUGCGGCUGGGCUGACUGGGGAACACGGGCUGGCCCUGCGGGGUUUGGGAAGACAGAGGCUGGCAGAGGACUGGGGUAGAAAAGGAAGGAAGAAUGGAAGGAGGAAUAGCGGGAGACAGGACAGCCUCAGCGCAAACUUUCAUUUCCUUCCCACCAGAGGGCACUAGGAUCCCCCUCUCCCCACUGCAGUGCUGGCCUGUGAGUUGAACUUUCCACAGUUGCCCAAACCUCUCCUAUAUGACAAGGAGCCCUCAGCCAUUCUGGUCACAGCACCCAGUCCCUCUCCUUAGGAAGCAGGUACAAUCUGUCUAACACAGCCUUGCAGGAGGAUGAUGCCACCGAGACCCUGAUAUGUGAGAUGACUUGCCCAAGGUCCCACAGCCAGUAAUUUGAAUGCAGGCAGUCAAACCAAGGAGGAAGCAGGGAGCAGCUGUGCCUUGAUGGGCGAGGGUGGAGGACUGCACAGGUCAGGGAGCUCGUUCUGGCUCCUGCCAGGGGAGUCGGCCAUGCAGUGUGUGAAAGGUCUCCUGGUUCCUGGGAGUGUUGGCUGUGAUGACAUCAUCCUAGAAGUCACUGACUGGAUUGGCAAUGGGGCUGAUGCUCACUGAGUGCCUGGCACGCUAUGUGCUGGGCACUGGGCUACACAACGGACACUGAAUACUUCCCAUAGACAACCCUGCAAGAUGCAUGACCUUGGGCAAGUUACUUGACCUUUGUGGGCCUCAGUUGCCUUAUCAGUAAAUUGGGGAUAAUAAUAGGACUCACUUCCCAGGAAUAAAUGACUUUCUCCAAGUAAAGCAA